UACGGGGGGAGCAAGCGUUGUUCGGAUUUACUGGGCGUAAAGGGCGCGUAGGCGGCACUGCAAGUCAGUUGUGAAAUCUCCGGGCUUAACCCGGAAAGGUCAACUGAUACUGCAGGGCUAGAGUGCAGAAGGGGCAACUGGAAUUCUCGGUGUAGCGGUGAAAUGCGUAGAUAUCGAGAGGAACACCUGCGGCGAAGGCGGGUUGCUGGGCUGACAUUGACGCUGAGGCGCGAAAGCCAGGGGAGCGAACGGG
Molecule: ribosomal RNA, 253 nt
Filed under: uncultured bacterium
Lineage: Bacteria
Description: partial 16S ribosomal RNA
Rfam family: Bacterial small subunit ribosomal RNA
Source: RNAcentral